Long non-coding RNA from Cygnus olor (mute swan), 549 nucleotides. RefSeq lists it as uncharacterized. The record is from RefSeq and is a predicted model, not a curated record. NCBI's taxonomy places the organism in Eukaryota, Metazoa, Chordata, Aves, Anseriformes, Anatidae. The transcript is spliced from 3 exons.
UCUGCAGCAGCUGUACGUACUUCAAAUAGUUUAAAAACAUUUACAAGGGGCUGGCAGGUAACUGGGGUCCAGAAACCUUGGAUUUGUGGUGCAGACACCUUCAUGGGAAGAAGUUAAGGCUGAGUUCAGGCAGAGGCCUGCAGGUGGGCCUGGCUCAGCAGUGCCCGUGGCUGAGGCAGGGCCAGGCUUCAGCAUCACUGGGGCCCUGAGGGGCUGAAAUGGGGACCUGGGGCCUGGGCAGGGUGGAGGGAGACCUGCAAGAGGAGUGCCAGGGCCUGUAGGGUCAGGUAGUGUCCUCAGAGCCCUGAAAUGAAAAACAGCAGAGUCAGAAGAUGUCAAGCUGAUAUGGUUGGAUUCUGUAUCUCCUUGUGCAUUGGCAACAUAAUUGUUGUGAAGGCCACAAAAAGAAAGAUGAGAUAGCAGUGAUAGCUGGUCAGGAAGUCCUUUGAGACAUCAGCUGAACUUUGCUCUUCUAAUGGAAGAAAUAUCAAGUUCACUUGCACUGAGUUCUGAAUUUGUUGGUUACCAUAAAAAUGAUAAUUAGCAAAC